GCUAUAGGAUGUGGUGACACACACCUACAAUCCUAGCUACAGGGGAGCCUGAGGCUUGGGGACUCCUUGAGUUCAGGAGCUCUGAGCUAUAGGGGGUUAAGCCAAUGGAGUAUCUGCACUAGGUUCAUGCUUAAUAUGGUGAGCCCCAGGAGUAGGAGUGGGGCACCAGGUUGUUUAAGGAGGAGCACAAUGGCCCAAGUAAGAAGUGGAGCAGGUCAAAGGUCCCAUGCCAAUCAGACAGAAACAGGACACAUGAGUAGCCAUGGUACUUUCAGCUUUGGCAAGAUAGGGAGACCUAUACUUA
Molecule: signal recognition particle RNA, 304 nt
Filed under: Phascolarctos cinereus (koala)
Lineage: Eukaryota; Metazoa; Chordata; Mammalia; Diprotodontia; Phascolarctidae
Description: Metazoan signal recognition particle RNA (ENSPCIG00000028504.2)
Rfam family: Metazoan signal recognition particle RNA
About the family: The signal recognition particle (SRP) is a universally conserved ribonucleoprotein. It is involved in the co-translational targeting of proteins to membranes. The eukaryotic SRP consists of a 300-nucleotide 7S RNA and six proteins: SRPs 72, 68, 54, 19, 14, and 9.
Source: RNAcentral